GCAAACUUGGUCAUUUAGAGGAAGUAAAAGUCGUAACAAGGUUUCCGUAGGUGAACCUGCGGAAGGAUCAUUGACGAAAUUCAAGGCGGAGACUCGACUGUGCUGGCCCACACCGGGCAUGUGCACGUCCCGUCCCCGUCCAUCUCACACACACCCGUGCACUCCUUGAGGGAACGGUGCAUUCGUAGGGUUUGCCGGCAGCCGUCGGCUCUCCCCGGAGUCUGUCCCUUCCUUCUACUUUUCACACACACCUCAGACAUGUCCCGCACGUCCUUUGAUGUAAUCCAAUACAACUUUCAACAACGGAUCUCUUGGCUCUCGCAUCGAUGAAGAACGCAGC
RNAcentral lists this unclassified non-coding RNA (340 nucleotides) under uncultured fungus. RNAcentral's name for it is "partial contains small subunit ribosomal RNA, internal transcribed spacer 1, and 5.8S ribosomal RNA". The stretch from base 1 to 73 matches the Rfam family "Eukaryotic small subunit ribosomal RNA", at positions 1759 to 1831 of the family's 1831-position model. Lineage: Eukaryota; Fungi. The record is from RNAcentral.